RNAcentral lists this ribosomal RNA (280 nucleotides) under uncultured prokaryote. Its description in RNAcentral is "partial 16S ribosomal RNA". It matches the Rfam family "Bacterial small subunit ribosomal RNA", at positions 524 to 803 of the family's 1533-position model. The record is from RNAcentral.
UACGUAGGGGCUAGCGUUAUCCGGAAUUACUGGGCGUAAAGGGUGCGUAGGUGGUUUCUUAAGUCAGAGGUGAAAGGCUACGGCUCAACCGUAGUAAGCCCUUGAAACUGGGAAACUUGAGUGCAGGAGAGGAGAGUGGAAUUCCUAGUGUAGCGGUGAAAUGCGUAGAUAUUGGGAGGAACACCAGUUGCGAAGGCGGCUCUCUGGACUGUAACUAACACUGAGGCACGAAAGCGUGGGGAGCAAACAGGAUUAGAUACCCCUGUAGUCCCUGAGCGGG